RNAcentral lists this ribosomal RNA (804 nucleotides) under uncultured bacterium. RNAcentral describes it as "bacterial SSU rRNA". It matches the Rfam family "Bacterial small subunit ribosomal RNA", at positions 8 to 795 of the family's 1533-position model. The record is from RNAcentral.
AGAGUUUGAUCUUGGCUCAGAGCGAACGCUGGCGGCGUACCUAACACAUGCAAGUCGAACGGGGAUCACAGGGUUAGCAAUAACUCCGUGGUUCUAGUGGCGCACGGGUGAGUAACACGUGGGUAACCUGCCCUUGAGACUGGGAUACCCCCUCGAAAGGGGGGCUAAUACCGGAUACGUUCCUCGGAUCGAAAGUUCUGAGGAGGAAAGGUGGCGAAAGCUGCCGCUCUUGGAGGGGCUCGCGGCCUAUCAGCUAGUUGGCGGGGUAACGGCCCACCAAGGCUAUGACGGGUAGCUGGUCUGAGAGGACGACCAGCCACACGGGGACUGAGACACGGCCCCGACUCCUACGGGAGGCAGCAGUGGGGAAUUUUCCGCAAUGGGCGAGAGCCUGACGGAGUGACGCCGCGUGUGGGACGAAGGCCUUCGGGUCGUAAACCACUGUCAGUGGGAAAGAUGGGUGUCGGCGUGAUAACCGCCGGCAUUUGACGGUACCUGCAGAGGAAGCCCCGGCUAACUCUGUGCCAGCAGCCGCGGUAAGACAGAGGGGGCAAGCGUUGCUCGGAAUUACUGGGCGUAAAGGGCGCGUAGGCGGGAUGGCAAGUCGGUCGUGAAAUCCCUCGGCUCACUGAGAUCGUCGAUCGAUACUGCCGUUCUUGAGGAUUGCAGAGGAGACUGGAAUUCCCGGUGUAGCGGUGAAAUGUGUAGAGAUCGGGAGGAACACCGGUGGCGAGGGUCUCUGGGCAAUUCCUGACGCUAGCGCGAAAGCGUGGGGAGCAAACGGGAUUAGAUACCCUGGUAGUC